CCUACGGGCUGCAGCAGUGGGGAAUAUUGGACAAUGGGCGCAAGCCUGAUCCAGCCAUGCCGCGUGAGUGAAGAAGGCCUUAGGGUUGUAAAGCUCUUUCACCGGUGGAGAUAAUGACGGUAACCGGAGAAGAAGCCCCGGAUAACUUCGUGCCAGCAGCCGCGGUAAUACGAAGGGGGCUAGCGUUGUUCGGAAUUACUGGGCGUAAAGCGCGCGUAGGCGGAUAGAUAAGUCAGAGGUGAAAUCCCGGGGCUCAACCCCGGAAUUGCCUUUGAUACUGUUUAUCUUGAGUGCAGAAGAGGUAAGUGGAAUUCCGAGUGUAGAGGUGAAAUUCGUAGAUAUUCGGAGGAACACCAGUGGCGAAGGCGGCUUACUGGUCUGCAACUGACGCUGAGGCGCGAAAGCGUGGGGAGCAAACAGGAUUAGAUACCCGUGUAGUC
Molecule: ribosomal RNA, 440 nt
Filed under: uncultured bacterium
Lineage: Bacteria
Description: bacterial SSU rRNA
Rfam family: Bacterial small subunit ribosomal RNA
Source: RNAcentral